UCUAGUUCUCAUAAUAUCACUAAGCCAAUUAAGAUCAUUGGUUAUUUAUUUAUUUAUCAUAUAUAACUUCUAAAAGAAAUGGGCAAGAGUGAUCUUCUAGUUAUUGUAGAAUAUAAACUUGACAGGAUUUUUAUUGUAUAGACUCGUUUCAUUAUAAGCUUAAGACAUAAAGUCAUAGAUUCAAUUCCCAAAACUGACAUUGAAGUAGUGGUGUAUUUGCAGGGAAUCACGGUGAUAUGUACAAAG
RNAcentral lists this unclassified non-coding RNA (246 nucleotides) under Hevea brasiliensis (rubber tree). The record is from RNAcentral. Lineage: Eukaryota; Viridiplantae; Streptophyta; Magnoliopsida; Malpighiales; Euphorbiaceae.